AAGGUAACAUAAUUAUAUAUAAAAUUUUCACUAUUAUCGAUCGAUUUUCUAAGUACGUCCAUAACAUUCCCCUUUCCAAGCUUCUUUCUGCCUUGAAACUGCUAACCUUCUUGUUCUUCAUGUUUUCAAACUCCACGGUAUCCCCAUCGACAUCGUCUCGGACCGAGGUCUUCAGUUUUCCUCCCUUGUUUGGAAGGAGUUCUGUAAAGCGGUGGGCGCAGCAGCCAGCUUGUCUUCCGGGUACCACCCUCAGACCAACGGCCAGACAGAGCAGGCAAAUUAGUCUCUGGAAUCAGCCCUUUCCUGCGUAGCUGCACGCAACCCCACCUCCUGGAGCUCAUUCCUCCCUUGGAUUGAGUACGCACACUACUCCCUCACCAGCUCCACCACCGAUUUUUACGCGGCUCAAGCCGGGCAGGACGGCGGGAGGUGUCCAUUGAGAGGGGGGCACUGUCAUGAGCUGUGCCCUGGAGUACCUCUGUUGGAGCUCGGAUGGCGCUUUGUGCCCCCUUCGCUCUCUUUCUCUCUCCCAGGACCCACUGCUCCAUCAGAACUUGAGCUGCAGAAGAUAGUUGGCAAGUCUCUUCUUUAUGUGAUGAAUUUGGGACUUCCAUCACCAGCGGGUGGCACUAGUGAUGGGCACGGCAGUUCUUUUGAGUGUACGGAAUCAUUCGAAUCAUCCAUCCAUCCAUUUUCUGAGCCGCUUCUCCUCACUCGGGUCGCGGGCGUGCUGGAGCCUAUCCCAGCUGUCAUCGGGCAGGAGGCGGGGUACACCCUGAACUGGUUGCCAGCCAAUCGCAGGGCACAUAGAAACUAACAACCAUUCGCACUCACAGUCAUGCCUACGGGCAAUUUAGAGUCUCCAAUUAAUGCAUGUUUUUGGGAUGUGGGAGGAAACCGGAGUGCCCGGAGAAAACCCACGCAGGCACGGGGAGAACAUGCAAACUCCACACAGGCAGGGACGGGGAUUGAACCCCGCACCUCAGAACUGUGAGGCUGACGCUCUAACCAGUCGGCCACCGUGCCGCCAAAGCUUACAGCACCUGGUAUUCCCAGGCGGUCUCCCAUCCAAGUACUAACCAGGCCCACCCCUGCUUAGCUUCCGAGAUCGGGCGUUCUCAGGGUAGUAUGGCCGUAAGCCACAUUCAUUCGAAUCAAUUCAUUAAAAAGAUUCGUUCAUCGAAUCGUUCUGUUCUUUUUUCACAAAUUAAUUCAAGUGCUUCCUCAUUCAUUUAAUGAUCCAUCCCUGAGGUUCACGUUCACUCCACACAUUCACCGAAUGACUAUGCGUUGUUGUUGUUGUCAUGUACUGUGAACUAGGAAAGGUAGGGAAAUUAUUAAAAAAAAAAAAAAAAAAAAACUUCGGCUAA
This is a long non-coding RNA of Phyllopteryx taeniolatus (common seadragon), 1370 nucleotides long. RefSeq lists it as uncharacterized. The record is from RefSeq and is a predicted model, not a curated record. The transcript is spliced from 3 exons. Lineage: Eukaryota; Metazoa; Chordata; Actinopteri; Syngnathiformes; Syngnathidae.